RNAcentral lists this long non-coding RNA (1029 nucleotides) under Sus scrofa (pig). RNAcentral's name for it is "lncRNA (ENSSSCG00055007349.1)". The record is from RNAcentral. Lineage: Eukaryota; Metazoa; Chordata; Mammalia; Artiodactyla; Suidae.
UUCAAUGUCCAGCCACACCCAGGCACAAGGAGGCUGCUGUCGGCCCGAGUACUUCCACUCGAAUAAGGACACACGUCUCCAGGCCUGCGUGGCCGUGAGGGCACAGGGCUCGGGGACAGGAGCCAGGCUGGGUUCAGGCCUCAUUCGCCCCCUUAGGGAGGAGCCCCUGCACAGAACACAAGGAUGCCCGGGGCAGCUCACUGAGGACCUGCAGGGGACUGUCUCCUCCUCUGGUGCCUCAUGAUAAAAUGCCAUCUGGUAAAAGCAUCGCCAUGGAGGCCCGUGAGGACGCAGCCCUGGUCCUCUGGUAGAUGUUACCACCAGGCCCAGGGCAACUGUGCAGAAGGACACAACUGCAGGGUGUCUCCCAAGAGAGGGGCGAUAGAUUUUACUUUAGCUAAAUAAGCAUAUAUACAUUCAGAUCCUUAAAAGACAAAAAAAGAGGGAGUACCCGCUAUGGCACAAUGGGUUAAUGAUCUGGCUUGUCUCUGUGGCAUCGAGGGUUUGAUCCCUGGCCUGGGAGCUUCCAUAUGUCUUGGGUGUGGCCAAAAAGAAAAAGUAAAAGAAAAAACAGGGGUUCCCUUCGUGGCUCAGUGGUUAAUGAACCCAAGGCGGAUCCACGACAAUGAGGGUUUGAUCCCUGGCCUCGCUCAUGGGUUAGGGAUCCAGCAUCGCCGUGAGCUGUGGUGUAGGUCAAAGAUGCAGCACCAAUGCCACAUUGCUGUGGCUGUGGUGUAGGCUGGCAGCUGCAGCUCUGAUUUGAUGCAGUUCCUGGGAACUUCCAUAUGCCACAGGUACGGCCCUAAAAAGCAAAAAUAAAAUGAAAUAAAAUAAAAUUAAAAAGUUGCUUAAAAAAAAGAAAGAAAUUAAACUCUUAAUAUGUCAUUUCCUUUCUGUUAUGGACUGAAUGUUUGUGUUCCCCCAAAAUUCCGAUUUUGAAGCUCUAUCCACGACAUGACUGUAUCUGGAGGAAGAGCUGCCUUGGGGGUAAUUAAGGUAAAAUGAGAUCCUAAGGGUGGGUCCUGAUCU